Molecule: small RNA, 77 nt
Filed under: Xanthomonas citri pv. glycines
Lineage: Bacteria; Pseudomonadati; Pseudomonadota; Gammaproteobacteria; Lysobacterales; Lysobacteraceae
Also listed under: 3 other names
Description: sX9 sRNA
Rfam family: Xanthomonas sRNA sX9
Source: RNAcentral
AUGUACCUCGCGUACACUCCGGUUCUGAGCGCGCCGUCCGCGCCCACCUGACACCUGCUCGCUACGUUUUGUUAGCC